AUUGAACGCUGGCGGUAUGCUUAACACAUGCAAGUCGAACGGUAGCAGGCCUUCGGGCGCUGACGAGUGGCGGACGGGUGAGUAACGCGUAGGAAUCUGCCUCAUAGUGGGGGACAACGUGGGGAAACCCACGCUAAUACCGCAUACGCCCUACGGGGGAAAGCGGGGAGUCUUCGGACCUCGCGCUAUGAGAUGAGCCUGCGUUAGAUUAGCUAGUUGGUGAGGUAAUGGCUCACCAAGGCGACGAUCCGUAACUGGUCUGAGAGGACGACCAGCCACACUGGAACUGAGACACGGUCCAGACUCCUACGGGAGGCA
This 318-nucleotide ribosomal RNA is filed under the name uncultured Pseudomonadota bacterium. Its description in RNAcentral is "bacterial SSU rRNA". It matches the Rfam family "Bacterial small subunit ribosomal RNA", at positions 30 to 350 of the family's 1533-position model. The record is from RNAcentral. Lineage: Bacteria; Pseudomonadati; Pseudomonadota.